Molecule: long non-coding RNA, 977 nt
Filed under: Malus domestica (apple)
Lineage: Eukaryota; Viridiplantae; Streptophyta; Magnoliopsida; Rosales; Rosaceae
Description: long non-coding RNA (MDOM_LNC006838)
Source: RNAcentral
AUAGGUAUUUGCCCAUCCCUAAUCAUCAUAUAUAUAUCAUAGGUUGAUAAAAUACAUUUAACCUAUAAUAAAGAUAUAUAUGUACAAAGAUGAAUAAAAAUUCGUCUACCUAUCAUUCAUGAAAAAUAGGUCAAAAUUUUUUAAUCGUUGAUGCAUUAUAAAUGCAUACUAGUAUUUAUGCUGAUAUAUCUUCAUCAAAAAAAACAAAUAUAUAUAGUAUCUACAAGACCACAACAUAGAUUAGUUAACACAGAUAAUAUGUGAUGGAGUAGAAGAAAAAAAUGAGAUACAAAUUAGGUGCAAGAAAAAGGGGGAACAAUAUUUAAUUAUUAUAUUUAACUGUUAGCAAUGAAGGUAAUAUUGAAUUAAUAUAAAAGAUAAACCUAUAAAUAAAGAAUGACAACAACAACAAAGCUUUUUCCCACUAAGUGGAGUCGGCUAUGUGAAUCCUAGAACGCCAUUGCGCUUUCGUUCUUGAUUCAUUUUCAUAAGGAUUCGACAUAAACUAGGAGUGCCGGCUGUCGACUACCUGACACCCUCCCCCUCCUCCUUUAUCCGGGCUUGGGACUGGCAAUGUUAGAUAAACUUACACAGACGGAGUUACAAAUAAAGAAUGACAUUUAUCACAAUUUUUUAUAAUAAAAAAAAUUGAUGUGGAUGAUCAGUAAAUGUGCCUAACUCAACAAAAUAGACUAAACCUAAUAAUGACUCACAAAAUUGGAGUUAAAUUAAGUUACUCAUGAUUUUUAAUUGUCCCUUCUGCGUGCAAAGGAAUCAUUUAACUAGUCCUAAUUCAAAAUUAGUAUCGAAUUCGCAGGAAAGUGCCUACAAAUUGUAGUUCUAUAAUGUUAUUAUUUGCUUGUGUGUGCAUUUGAUAUAAAUUGUGUUUACUUACUUAGAGCAACUCCAGCCAUGGAGCCUUCCCCCCUGGCAAUCCACUAUUGAAUCCACCAUUUUGAACAGUAACUGCCUCAAAU